Molecule: ribosomal RNA, 165 nt
Filed under: uncultured bacterium
Lineage: Bacteria
Description: partial 16S ribosomal RNA
Rfam family: Bacterial small subunit ribosomal RNA
Source: RNAcentral
CAGGGAAUCUUCGGCAAUGGACGAAAGUCUGACCGAGCAACGCCGCGUGAGUGAAGAAGGUUUUCGGAUCGUAAAACUCUGUUGGUAGAGAAGAACGUUGGUGAGAGUGGAAAGCUCAUCAAGUGACGGUAACUACCCAGAAAGGGACGGCUAACUACGUGCUAG